Molecule: ribosomal RNA, 370 nt
Filed under: uncultured eukaryote
Lineage: Eukaryota
Description: partial 18S ribosomal RNA
Rfam family: Eukaryotic small subunit ribosomal RNA
Source: RNAcentral
CAAUAGCGUAUAUUAAAGUUGUUGCAGUUAAAAAGCUCGUAGUUGGAUUUCUGGUCGGAAGCUCCUGUCCUCUGAUGAGCGUACAAGUGCGUCCUACCAUCCUUCUGUUAACCUUUAAGGCUUUCGCGGCUUUCUAGGGGCUCAGAUAUUUUACCUUGAGAAAAUUAGAGUGUUUCAGGCAGGCUAGCGCCGGAAUACAUUAGCAUGGAAUAAUGGAAUAGGACUUUUGCCUCUUCUGUUGGUCAUGAGGCUCGAGUAAUGAUUAAUAGGGAUAGUUGGGGGCAUUAGUACUUAACUGUCAGAGGUGAAAUUCUCGGAUUUGUUAAAGACUAACUUAUGCGAAAGCAUUUGCCAAGGAUGUUUCCAUUAA